Molecule: ribosomal RNA, 498 nt
Filed under: uncultured bacterium
Lineage: Bacteria
Description: partial 16S ribosomal RNA
Rfam family: Bacterial small subunit ribosomal RNA
Source: RNAcentral
GACGAACGCUGGCGGCGUGCCUAAUACAUGCAAGUCGAGCGGACGGAUGGGAGCUUGCUCCCAGACCGUCAGCGGCGGACGGGUGAGUAACACGUGGGCAACCUGCCUGUAAGACUGGGAUAACUCCGGGAAACCGGGGCUAAUACCGGAUAACUCUUUCCCUCACAUGAGGGAAAGCUGAAAGAUGGCAUCUCGCUAUCACUUACAGAUGGGCCCGCGGCGCAUUAGCUAGUUGGUGAGGUAACGGCUCACCAAGGCGACGAUGCGUAGCCGACCUGAGGGGGUGAUCGGCCACACUGGGACUGAGACACGGCCCAGACUCCUACGGGAGGCAGCAGUAGGGAAUCUUCCGCAAUGGACGAAAGUCUGACGGAGCAACGCCGCGUGAGUGAUGAAGGUGUUCGGAUCGUAAAACUCUGUUGUCAGGGAAGAACAAGUACCGGAGUAACUGCCGGUACCUUGACGGUACCUGACCAGAAAGCCACGGCUAACUACGUG